CCCGCACAAGCGGCGGAGCAUGUGGCUUAAUUCGACGCAACGCGAAGAACCUUACCAGGGCUUGACAUGUACCUGACAGCCGUGGAAACACGGUCUUCUUCGGACAGGUACACAGGUGGUGCAUGGCUGUCGUCAGCUCGUGUAGUGAGAUGUUGGGUUAAGUCCCGCAACGAGCGCAACCCUUGUCGUAUGUUGCCAGCACGUUAUGGUGGGAACUCAUGCGAGACUGCCGGUGUCAAACCGGAGGAAGGUGGGAUGACGUCAAGUCAUCAUGCCCCUUAUGCCCUGGGCUGCACACGUGCUACAAUGGCUGGCACAAUGGGCUGCGAAACCGCGAGGUAGAGCGAAUCCCACAAAGCCAGUCUAAGUUCGGAUUGAAGGCUGAAACUCGCCUUCAUGAAGUCGGAGUCGCUAGUAAUCGCGAAUCAGCACGUCGCGGUGAAUACGUUCCCGGGCCUU
RNAcentral lists this ribosomal RNA (459 nucleotides) under uncultured Actinomycetes bacterium. RNAcentral describes it as "bacterial SSU rRNA". It matches the Rfam family "Bacterial small subunit ribosomal RNA", at positions 920 to 1382 of the family's 1533-position model. Lineage: Bacteria; Bacillati; Actinomycetota; Actinomycetes. The record is from RNAcentral.